Molecule: ribosomal RNA, 881 nt
Filed under: Xylaria rogersii
Lineage: Eukaryota; Fungi; Ascomycota; Sordariomycetes; Xylariales; Xylariaceae
Description: Xylaria sp. ZS-2021j partial large subunit ribosomal RNA
Rfam family: Eukaryotic large subunit ribosomal RNA
Source: RNAcentral
GGGGGCAGAGCAACAGGGAUUGCCCUAGUAACGGCGAGUGAAGCGGCAACAGCUCAAAUUUGAAAUCUGGCCUUCGGGUCCGAGUUGUAAUUUGUAGAGGAUGCUUUUGGCGCGGUGCCUUCCGAGUUCUCUGGAACGAGACGCCUUAGAGGGUGAGAGCCCCGUACGGUUGGACACCAAGCCUCUGUAAAGCUCCUUCGACGAGUCGAGUAGUUUGGGAAUGCUGCUCUAAAUGGGAGGUAAAUUUCUUCUAAAGCUAAAUAUUGGCCAGAGACCGAUAGCGCACAAGUAGAGUGAUCGAAAGAUGAAAAGCACUUUGAAAAGAGGGUUAAAUAGCACGUGAAAUUGUUGAAAGGGAAGCGUUUGCGACCAGACCUCUUCCCGGCGGAUCAUCCGGUGUUCUCACCGGUGCACUUCGCCGGGUUUAGGCCAGCAUCGGUUUUCGUGGGGGGAUAAAAGCUCGGGGAACGUAGCUCCCUCGGGAGUGUUAUAGCCCCUUGCAUAAUACCCUCACGGGGACCGAGGACCGCGCUUUUUGCAAGGAUGCUGGCGUAAUGGUCGUCAACGACCCGUCUUGAAACACGGACCAAGGAGUCGAACAUUUGUGCAAGUGUUUGGGUGUUAAACCCUCACGCGUAAUGAAGGUGAACGUAGGUGAGAGCCCUUACGGGUGCAUCAUCGACCGAUCCUGAUGUCUUCGGAUGGAUUUGAGUAAGAGCAUAACUGUUCGGACCCGAAAGAUGGUGAACUAUGCGUGGAUAGGGUGAAGCCAGAGGAAACUCUGGUGGAGGCUCGCAGCGGUUCUGACGUGCAAAUCGAUCGUCAAAUCUGCGCAUGGGGGCGAAAGACUUAUCGAACCAUCUAGUAGCUGGUACCGCGGU